UGGGGGAUAUUGCACAAUGGGCGAAAGCCUGAUGCACCGACGCCGCGUGGGGGAUGAAGGCUUUCGGGUUGUAAACCUCUUUCGCUAUCGAACAAGGCCCGCUUAGGGUGGGUUGAGGGUAGGUGGAGAAGAAGCGCCGGCUAACUACGUGCCAGCAGCCGCGGUAAUACGUAGGGCGCGAGCGUUGUCCGGAAUUAUUGGGCGUAAAGGGCUUGUAGGCGGCUUGUUGCGCCUGCUGUGAAAACGCGGGGCUUAACUUCGCGCGUGCAGUGGGUACGGGCAGGCUUGAGUGUGGUAGGGGUGACUGGAAUUCCAGGUGUAGCGGUGGAAUGCGCAGAUAUCUGGAGGAACACCGAUGGCGAAGGCAGGUCACUGGGCCAUUACUGACGCUGAGGAGCGAAAGCAUGGGUAGCGAACAGG
RNAcentral lists this ribosomal RNA (420 nucleotides) under bacterium. Its description in RNAcentral is "partial 16S ribosomal RNA". It matches the Rfam family "Bacterial small subunit ribosomal RNA", at positions 355 to 776 of the family's 1533-position model. The record is from RNAcentral.